ACGAACGCUGGCGGCGUGCCUAAUCCAUGCAAGUAGCACGCUGAAGGAGGAGCUUGCUCUUCUGGAUGAGUUGCGAACGGGUGAGUAACGCGUAGGUAACCUGCCUGGUAGCGGGGGAUAACUAUUGGAAACGAUAGCUAAUACCGCAUAAUAGUAGAUGUUGCAUGAUAUUUACUUAAAAGGUGCAAUUGCACCACUACCAGAUGGACCUGCGUUGUAUUAGCUAGUUGGUGGGGUAGCGGCUCACCAAGGCGACGAUACAUAGCCGACCUGAGAGGGUGAUCGGCCACACUGGGACUGAGACACGGCCCAGACUCCUACGGGAGGCAGCAGUAGGGAAUCUUCGGCAAUGGACGAAAGUCUGACCGAGCAACGCCGCGUGAGUGAAGAAGGUUUUCGGAUCGUAAAGCUCUGUUGUAAGAGAAGAACGAGUGUGAGAGUGGAAAGUUCACACUGUGACGGUAUCUUACCAGAAAGGGACGGCUAACUACGUG
RNAcentral lists this ribosomal RNA (494 nucleotides) under uncultured bacterium. RNAcentral describes it as "partial 16S ribosomal RNA". It matches the Rfam family "Bacterial small subunit ribosomal RNA", at positions 29 to 507 of the family's 1533-position model. The record is from RNAcentral.